GAUUCUGGCUCAGGACGAACGCUGGCGGCAUGCCUAACACAUGCAAGUCGAGCGAGGUGAUCCUCGGGAUGAACCUAGCGGCGGACGGGUGAGUAACACGUGGGCAACCUGCCUCAUAGAGGGGAAUAGCCUUCCGAAAGGAAGAUUAAUACCGCAUAAGAUUGUAGCUUCGCAUGAAGCAUCAAUUAAAGGAGCAAUCCGCUAUGAGAUGGGCCCGCGGCGCAUUAGCUAGUUGGUGAGGUAACGGCUCACCAAGGCGACGAUGCGUAGCCGACCUGAGAGGGUGAUCGGCCACAUUGGGACUGAGACACGGCCCAGACUCCUACGGGAGGCAGCAGUGGGGAAUAUUGCACAAUGGGGGAAACCCUGAUGCAAGCAAUGCCGCGUGAGUGAUGACGGCCUUCGGGUUGUAAAGCUCUGUCUUCGGGGACGAUAAUGACGGUACCCGAGGAGGAAGCCACGGCUAACUACGUGCCAGCAGCCGC
This 485-nucleotide ribosomal RNA is filed under the name uncultured bacterium. RNAcentral describes it as "bacterial SSU rRNA". It matches the Rfam family "Bacterial small subunit ribosomal RNA", at positions 15 to 518 of the family's 1533-position model. The record is from RNAcentral.